RNAcentral lists this long non-coding RNA (529 nucleotides) under Chinchilla lanigera (long-tailed chinchilla). RNAcentral's name for it is "lncRNA (ENSCLAG00000024996.1)". The record is from RNAcentral. Lineage: Eukaryota; Metazoa; Chordata; Mammalia; Rodentia; Chinchillidae.
UUUUGUGUCAUCUUUUUUUGAGACAGGGUUUCACUAUGCAGUUCAUGCUGCCUUAAACUCACUGUGUAGUCCUGGCUGGCCUUGAACUUGUGGCGAUCCUCCUGCCUCAGCCUCACUAGGAUUACAGGUGUGAGCCACCAUGCCUGGCUUAUGUUUCCCUUUUUUUUUUUGACUUUUUGAGACAGGGUCUCGCUCCGCAGUUCAGGCUGGCCUUGAGCUCACUUUGUAGGCCAGGCUGGUCUCGAACUUGCAGGGAUCCUCCUGCCUCAGCCUCAUGAGUGCUGGAAUUACAGGUGUGCACCAACACGCCCAGCCUUAUGUUUCACUUUUAACCCUGGAUUAUAUUGGUAAUGCUGUGAAAUCUACAUGGUGCCCACAUUAUAGCCCACACUACACGGCUCCCCGGCAGCUUGAGGUGACCAAGGGCUGCCGUGCUGGCAGUGACUCUGAGGGACAGCGCCGUGUGCAUCUUCUACGUCCCACCCUCAUGAGGCGGAUGCUCUGUUCCUCUACCUCCCUUCCGUUUUAA